RNAcentral lists this ribosomal RNA (372 nucleotides) under uncultured Caryophanales bacterium. RNAcentral's name for it is "bacterial SSU rRNA". It matches the Rfam family "Bacterial small subunit ribosomal RNA", at positions 18 to 379 of the family's 1533-position model. The record is from RNAcentral. Lineage: Bacteria; Bacillati; Bacillota; Bacilli; Caryophanales.
CCUGGCUCAGGACGAACGCUGGCGGCGUGCCUAAUACAUGCAAAAAAGAGCGGAUCUUCAUUAGCUUGCUUUUGAAGAUCAGCGGCGGACGGGUGAGUAACACGUGGGCAACCUGCCUGUAAGACUGGGAUAACUUCGGGAAACCGGAGCUAAUACCGGAUAAUCCUUUCCCUCACAUGAGGGAAAGCUGAAAGACGGUUUCGGCUGUCACUUACAGAUGGGCCCGCGGCGCAUUAGCUAGUUGGUGAGGUAACGGCUCACCAAGGCAACGAUGCGUAGCCGACCUGAGAGGGUGAUCGGCCACACUGGGACUGAGACACGGCCCAGACUCCUACGGGAGGCAGCAGUAGGGAAUCUUCCGCAAUGGACGAA